GGUUAAGUGACUAAGCGUACACGGUGGAUGCCUUGGCAGUCAGAGGCGAUGAAGGACGUAGUAACUUGCGAUAAGCGUAGAUGAGGCAGUAACAGCCACUUGAGUCUACGAUUUCCGAAUGGGGAAACCCACUGGCAUAAGCCAGUAUCAUUGAGUGAAUACAUAGCUCAAUGAAGCGAACCGGGAGAACUGAAACAUCUAAGUACCCCGAGGAAAAGAAAUCAACCGAGAUUCCGAAAGUAGCGGCGAGCGAAAUUGGAUUAGCCCUUAAGCUUUACAUGUGUUAGACGAACGGUCUGGAAAGUCCGACGAUACAGGGUGAUAGUCCCGUAGUUGACGAUGCAUGUUCAGUGAAAUCGAGUAGGGCGGGACACGUGUUAUCCUGUCUGAAUAUGGGGGGACCAUCCUCCAAGGCUAAAUACUCCUGACUGACCGAUAGUGAACCAGUACCGUGAGGGAAAGGCGAAAAGAACCCCUGUGAGGGGAGUGAAAUAGAACCUGAAACCGUGUACGUACAAGCAGUAGGAGCACCUUCGUGGUGUGACUGCGUACCUUUUGUAUAAUGGGUCAGCGACUUAUAUUCAGUGGCAAGGUUAACCAUCUAGGGGAGCCGUAGGGAAACCGAGUCUUAACUGGGCGCCAUAGUCUCUGGAUAUAGACCCGAAACCGAGUGAUCUAGCCAUGGGCAGGUUGAAGGUUGAGUAACAUCAACUGGAGGACCGAACCGACUAAUGUUGAAAAAUUAGCGGAUGACUUGUGGCUAGGGGUGAAAGGCCAAUCAAACUCGGAGAUAGCUGGUUCUCCCCGAAAGCUAUUUAGGUAGCGCCUCGGACGAAUACUACUGGGGGUAGAGCACUGUUAAGGCUAGGGGGUCAUCCCGACUUACCAACCCUUUGCAAACUCCGAAUACCAGUAAGUACUAUCCGGGAGACACACGGCGGGUGCUAACGUCCGUCGUGGAGAGGGAAACAACCCAGACCGCCAGCUAAGGUCCCAAAUUACAGCUAAGUGGGAAACGAUGUGGGAAGGCUUAGACAGCUAGGAUGUUGGCUUAGAAGCAGCCAUCAUUUAAAGAAAGCGUAAUAGCUCACUAGUCGAGUCGGCCUGCGCGGAAGAUGUAACGGGGCUAAGUUGUAAACCGAAGCUGCGGCAAUGUUCUAUGAACAUUGGGUAGGGGAGCGUUCUGUAAGCCGUUGAAGGUGUGUUGUAAAGCAUGCUGGAGGUAUCAGAAGUGCGAAUGCUGACAUGAGUAACGACAAGGGGGGUGAAAAACCUCCCCGCCGGAAGACCAAGGGUUCCUGUCCAACGUUAAUCGGGGCAGGGUAAGUCGACCCCUAAGGCGAGGCUGAAAAGCGUAGUCGAUGGGAAACGGGUUAAUAUUCCCGUACUUCUUACAAUUGCGAUGGGGGGACGGAGAAGGCUAGGUGGGCCUGGCGACGGUUGUCCAGGUUCAAGUGCGUAGGCUGAGUGUUUAGGUAAAUCCGGACACUCUUAAGGCUGAGACACGACGUCGAGCUACUACGGUAGUGAAGUCAUUGAUGCCAUGCUUCCAGGAAAAGCCUCUAAGCUUCAGAUUGUAAGGAAUCGUACCCCAAACCGACACAGGUGGUCGGGUAGAGAAUACCAAGGCGCUUGAGAGAACUCGGGUGAAGGAACUAGGCAAAAUGGUACCGUAACUUCGGGAGAAGGUACGCUCUUGAUGGUGAAGUCCCUUGCGGAUGGAGCUGACGAGAGUCGCAGAUACCAGGUGGCUGCAACUGUUUAUUAAAAACACAGCACUGUGCAAAAUCGUAAGAUGACGUAUACGGUGUGACGCCUGCCCGGUGCCGGAA
This 1832-nucleotide ribosomal RNA is filed under the name Vibrio vulnificus. RNAcentral's name for it is "partial 23S ribosomal RNA". It matches the Rfam family "Bacterial large subunit ribosomal RNA", at positions 1 to 1874 of the family's 2925-position model. Lineage: Bacteria; Pseudomonadati; Pseudomonadota; Gammaproteobacteria; Vibrionales; Vibrionaceae. The record is from RNAcentral.